UACGGAGGGUGCGAGCGUUGUUCGGAAUUAUUGGGCGUAAAGAGCUCGUAGGCGGUUCGGCAAGUCGGGUGUGAAACCCCCAGGCUCAACCUGGGGACGCCACCCGAUACUGCUGUGACUUGAGUCCGGUAGGGGAGCGUGGAAUUCCUGGUGUAGCGGUGAAAUGCGCAGAUAUCAGGAGGAACACCAGCGGCGAAGGCGGCGCUCUGGGCCGGAACUGACGCUGAGGAGCGAAAGCGUGGGUAGCAAACAGG
RNAcentral lists this ribosomal RNA (254 nucleotides) under uncultured bacterium. Its description in RNAcentral is "partial 16S ribosomal RNA". It matches the Rfam family "Bacterial small subunit ribosomal RNA", at positions 524 to 776 of the family's 1533-position model. The record is from RNAcentral.